GCCCCGAUGGCUCAGUUGGUUAGAGCGCAGGUCUCAUAUCGUGAGGUAUGAGUAAUCAGCUGAUUACGCAAUCCUGAGGUCGCAAGUUCGAACCUUGCUCGGGGCA
This is a transfer RNA of Hydnomerulius pinastri MD-312, 106 nucleotides long. It matches the Rfam family "tRNA". From Rfam's summary of the family: Transfer RNA (tRNA) molecules are approximately 80 nucleotides in length. Their secondary structure includes four short double-helical elements and three loops (D, anti-codon, and T loops). NCBI's taxonomy places the organism in Eukaryota, Fungi, Basidiomycota, Agaricomycetes, Boletales. The record is from Rfam.